RNAcentral lists this long non-coding RNA (437 nucleotides) under Salmo salar (Atlantic salmon). Its description in RNAcentral is "lncRNA (ENSSSAG00000110857.1, ENSSSAG00020058974.1)". The record is from RNAcentral. Lineage: Eukaryota; Metazoa; Chordata; Actinopteri; Salmoniformes; Salmonidae.
CUUGCAGGAACCUAACUGCCCAACUGAAAGUUUGGAUUUGAAUUUGAAAGGACAGCAGGUGCAGGAACUUAACUGAAACAUGUAAAGAUCUCUUCAAUGUAAGACAGAAAAUGAUGGACACAAUUCAAUGGAUAUCAAUCAACAAAGAGGUAUGCAGACGAGGAGGCAUACAGUAGAAACGUAUGUCAGUUAGUAUUGGUAUGUUAUGCAGAUCACAUUUACCAUCCUCCUCCCUUACCUCUUCAAUAAAUAUCCCAUAGGCCUCUACAUUAUGGACAAGGAAACCUGUUCAAUCACCAUCCACUACAAAAUCAUUCUGGCUAUGGAUACAGAGAACAUCAACACAUUAACAUCAACACGCCAGAGGAUAAACCCAUUGGACUUGGGCCUCUGCUGGGAGUUUACCUCAUAUUUUGAUUUUUUUUAUUCUGCUUUGC